GACGAACGCUGGCGGCGUGCUUAAUACAUGCAAGUCGAACGGAGAGGCCCUGCUCUUGUGCGGUGUUCGUGUGGCGCGCGGGUGUGUAUAACGCGUGUAACAUGCCCUUGACUUUGGGGUAAAUCCAGGGAACUGGGGCGAUUAUCGGGCAGAAGCACCUGCUGCACGGGGGGGGUUGGUAAGUUGCGGAGGUUGGGGACGGACACGCGGCAUAUCAUCUUGUUGGCGAGGUAGUGGCUUACCAAGGCAUUGACGGGUAGCCGGACUGAGAGGGUGACCGGCCACAUUGUGACAGAGGAGCCGGCCAGACGGCUACGGGGGCCAGCAGUGGGAAAUAGUGCACGAUGGGCGGAAGCCUGAUGCAGCGACGCCGCGUGCUAGAUGUCUGUCGUCAGGUUGUAAACCGCGUGCGCCUGGGACGAAGCGUGAGUGACGGUAAUUGGUAAAAAAGCACCGGCUAACUACGUG
Molecule: ribosomal RNA, 468 nt
Filed under: uncultured bacterium
Lineage: Bacteria
Description: partial 16S ribosomal RNA
Rfam family: Bacterial small subunit ribosomal RNA
Source: RNAcentral